ACGGGAGGCAGCAGUGGGGAAUAUUGGACAAUGGGGGAAACCCUGAUCCAGCGACGCCGCGUGAGUGAAGAAGUAUUUCGGUAUGUAAAGCUCUAUCAGCAAGAAAGAAAAUGACGGUACUUGACUAAGAAGCCCCGGCUAACUACGUGCCAGCAGCCGCGGUAAUACGUAGGGGGCAAGCGUUAUCCGGAUUUACUGGGUGUAAAGGGAGCGUAGACGGCGAUGCAAGUCUGAAGUGAAAGCCCGGGGCUCAACCCCGGAACUGCUUUGGAAACUGUAUAGCUAGAGUGCAGGAGAGGUAUGUGGAAUUCCUAGUGUAGCGGUGAAACGCGUAGAUAUUAGGAGGAACACCAGUGGCGAAGGCGACAUACUGGACUGUAACUGACGUUGAGGCUCGAAGGCGUGGGGAGCAAACAGGAUUAGAUACCCUGGUA
Molecule: ribosomal RNA, 434 nt
Filed under: uncultured Clostridium sp.
Lineage: Bacteria; Bacillati; Bacillota; Clostridia; Eubacteriales; Clostridiaceae
Description: partial 16S ribosomal RNA
Rfam family: Bacterial small subunit ribosomal RNA
Source: RNAcentral